GAUGAACGCUGGCGGCGUGCUUAACACAUGCAAGUCGAACGGUGAAGCAGGAGCUUGCUCUUGUGGAUCAGUGGCGAACGGGUGAGUAACACGUGAGCAACCUGCCCCUGACUCCGGGAUAAGCGCUGGAAACGGCGUCUAAUACUGGAUAUGUGAUGUGACCGCAUGGUCUGCAUCUGGAAAGAAUUUCGGUUGGGGAUGGGCUCGCGGCCUAUCAGCUUGUAGGUGAGGUAAUGGCUCACCAAGGCGUCGACGGGUAGCCGGCCUGAGAGGGUGACCGGCCACACUGGGACUGAGACACGGCCCAGACUCCUACGGGAGGCAGCAGUGGAGAAUAUUGCACAAUGGGCGGAAGCCUGAUGCAGCAACGCCGCGUGAGGGAUGACGGCCUUCGGGUUGUAAACCUCUUUUAGCAGGGAAGAAGCGAAAGUGACGGUACCUGCAGAAAAAGCACCGGCUAACUACGUGCCAGCCGCCGCGGUAA
This 484-nucleotide ribosomal RNA is filed under the name uncultured bacterium. RNAcentral describes it as "partial 16S ribosomal RNA". It matches the Rfam family "Bacterial small subunit ribosomal RNA", at positions 28 to 523 of the family's 1533-position model. The record is from RNAcentral.